CCGGUACCAUUCCAAAUUUUGGCUAUCGCCUUCUGCAACUUCUUUUUCUCUCUGUUUUUCUCGGUUACCAAUCAUUUUUUUUUUCGCUUGAGCAUGCUAUAAAAUCUAAAGUCUUAACAUUUCAGCCCCAUCAAGAGAAUUUUUCGUCUUCCAAACCUACGAAAGUGCGACUUAGUUCAUGAAAUCCAUUUUUAUUCUAUAAAUUUAUCUCUAUUUUUACAAAAUCAAGUUUAGAUUACACAUGUUUUAUAUAUAUAUAAAUUUCCAGUUUUCAGCUCCAUCCGUUUAACUUUACAUCUUUGAAACAUAUGCAUUCCAAUUGCAACUGGUACAAGAGCAGUCAAAGUAAACCACUUAAGAGAAUCUGCAUGGAAGACUGCUUUUUGCUUUUUCAAUUUCCUCUGCGCAUGUAUACAUAAAGAUACAUAUAUGUAUUAUAUGUGCGCAUGUAAAGAGAGAAAAGGAAGCAAGUAGUGAAGGUAGGACCAACUGGGUUGACCCAUGGAAUGUGAAAAUCUUAAAGGAGGUUGGCAAUCUGGGAUUUGGUCAUUGGUGACUUAAAGAUACGUGUAACUACCCAUUGCCCAUUCAAGUAUGGAAGAAACUCAAAUUUGGUAUUCUUUGACUUUUAUAUAUGCAGGACAUAUACUAAUAAAUAAACAAACAACUUCAAAAAGAUUUAACAAUUUUAUGUGAAAUAAUAGAAAAAGUUAAACUACAGAUACUAAAUUGAGGUAAAAGAAAUUAUAAAUACUGAAAGUAAAAGGAGGCAAUUUUAUGUGAAAAUCUUCUGGUUUAUUUUUCUUCUCUUUUUUUUUUUUUUUUUUUUGACUUGUUCCUUUAACUCUGGGCAUUAUUUGGUAGAGAACAUGAUUGGAAAAGGAGGCAACGCAGAGGUAUAUAAAGGCUGCUUACCAGAGGGUGAAAUUGUAGCAGUGAAGAAGCUGAUGAGUAAUGAGAAGGAAGAAGAAGACAGAGUCAGUGAUUUCCUAUCAGAACUCGGGAUUAUUGCCCACGUAAACCACCAAAAUGCUGCUCGUUUAAUCGGUUUCAGCACUGAUUGUGGCUUGCACUUUGUCCUCGAAUUCUUGCCUCAUGGCAGCCUUGCUUCUUUGCUUUUUAGUACUGCUGCCUAUUCCUCUGUUCUUAUCUUUCUACAUCUCUCUCUUGUUCUCUCUCUCUUAGUUUGAUUGAACCGAUUAUUAAGCAAAAAUAUUUUGGAUUUCAGGUCCAACAGAAUGUUUAGAAUGGAAGAUAAGGUUCAAGGUAGCUAUCGGAGUUGCUGAUGGAUUGAGGUAUCUGCAUCAUGAUUGCCAGAGGAGAAUUAUUCAUAGAGACAUCAAGGCCUCUAACAUAUUGCUCACUGAAGAUUUUGAGGCACAGGUAGAAAUUCUAACACACUUGCCAUCCUCCAUGCCAAAUAUCAAGCUCAAAAGUUCACUAUAUUUUCUGACCGCUAAAUCUAUUUCCAAAAUCUUACAGAUUUCUGAUUUUGGACUGGCCAAGUGGCUACCAGAAAAUUGGCCUCAUCAUAUUGUAUAUCCUAUUGAGGGUACAUUCGGGUUAGACACCUAUCUCUAGUGAUGUGUUCUAUAUAUCUAUUAGCACUUAUUGCUUUUAUUUUAUUGUUCGUCGGAAAAUGACUUUCAGAUAUCUAGCUCCUGAAUACUUCAUGCAUGGGAUAGUUGAUGAGAAAACAGACAUAUUUGCCUUUGGGGUUCUACUGCUGGAGCUUAUAACGGGUCGCCGAGCAGUUGAUACAGCAAGCAGACAAAGUCUUGUGAUGUGGGUAUGAUUCCACUCUAAUCUUACUUCUUUCAAACCUAUUUUGAUUUGAACAGUUGAUACUUGACGAGACUAUAACAUAAUUACUUGUGAUGUGGGUAUCUUUUCAUUCUGAGGUAUUGUAUUUUCUAGUGACUACUUGAAUUUGAUUAUUGAAAAUAGUGCUCCGAAAAUCCACGGGAAUUAUUUAGAAUUGGUACAAAAAAAAAACUAAUCCUUCAACUCCAUGUUCAUUUUUGAUAAUCCUUUCUUCUUGCAGGCAAAGCCACUGUUGGAGAAAAACAAUUUAAAAGACUUAGUCGAUCCUCGAUUAGGAGAUGAUUUUGAUCUCACUGAAAUGAGACGUUCAAUGUUAACAGCUUCGCUGUGCAUAAACCACUUGGCCACCAUGCGUCCUAGCAUGAAUCGGGUAUUUCUUCUUUCCUAUUUUUAUUUUUUUCCAUUCUCAUAUUUGAUAGGAAUAUCAACGUUAACAUUCACGAACCAAACAACACCCUCAACCGACUUCUGUGGUUUAAUUUUCUUCUGCAAAAUAUAUUUAUGUUUAUCUAAUGCAAUAUAUUACUUGUUUUUUGGUAGGUUGUACACUUGCUAAGGGGAGAGGAUGGGCCAUUGGAGUUGCAGAAAUGUAAUACAGGGAGGGCAGGGAUUUUAGAAGGUUGUGAUUUGCAAGAUUAUACUUGCGCCAGUUACCUUGACGAGCUCACUCGUCACAGGCAGCUUGUGAUGGAGUAAAGUGGAGAAUUUGGUUGGAAUGUUGUUUGUUGUUGUUUUUUUUUUUUUUUGGGCUGCAGCCUGCUUGUUAUUACCAGUGUUGGCUUGUAAAUGGUGUGGCACCCUUGUAUGUACAAGUCAUGACAGACAGACAGACAUUGUAGGUGGGAGAUUUCUAGCUGGAGUUUUUCUAAAUCGUAUAGCUUGUACUUGGAAGAGUAGUUUUGUUUUUUUUUGCUGUACAUGUACGGAGAAAACUAGUGAGGAAAUCUCAUAAUGUUUGGAAAGAGUUUUUAUUAAUCAAAUGUUGCAGAAGUGAAAGGAAACAGCAAAUGGGUCUAUUCCAAAAUGUAAUUUACAAGAGUAUUUUUUGCACACGGCACUCGAGAUUGCCUCUACCCAUGACAGGAGAAGUGUGGCACUAGUUUAGGGUUUGUUUGGGAGAGUGGAAACGAAGGUGAGAAGAGAGAAAGGAAUAUGAUAGUUUAGUCUUCAACAGUAAAUUAUUAGUUUCUCUGUCUCUUCUUCUCCUUUCUCUCUUCCCAAACAAGACUUGCUUACAAACACACAGGUUCUAUAUAAUUACAGUAAAAAAAAAAAAAAAAUAGUCUCUAAAUAUAAAAUUAUUGACUUGGGACUGGGACUCAAGAACCAUGCGCAUGAACUGCAACAGUAAAAAUGUUGAUUUUGGUGAAAAGUAAAAAAUAAAACAUAAUAAUAAACCAGCAAGAAGACAUUCAGUCAAAAAGGUCAGACAAGUAGGGAUCUAUGUUUCUAAUUUUUUUUUUUCAUUUUUCUCAUAAUGGAUUUCUAAUUUUCUUGCAUACCCUUUAGCUUUAAGUUAUGAAAAAUUGUGCCAUUUGAUGUAAAUAUAUAUUAUAUGUAUAUAUAUAUAUAUAUAGUUUUUACUUUUUACUUUUUUAACUUUUUACCCAUCCCUGUGCUUCACACUUCAUACACCAACUCCAACGUUUAGAAAGUCACCUCCCUAGUUUUUACUUUGUUUUCUCCUCUUUCUCCGAGUCCUUUGACCUUUUUGUCGUUGUACAAGUAAAUAUUAUGAUUUUAAAAAAUAAAUUAUAAUUUAAUUAUCAAUAAAUAAAUAUAUUUUACAUUCUUUGUUUGUAAAUUAAAUUCUAAAAAAAUAUUUCAAAAAAAAAAAAAACUUGGAAAAUUAUUAUUAACAAAUACAAUUAAUUAUUCAGUUUUUAAUUUAUUAAAUAACAAGAGGAUUAUAUUUAAAUUAGCCCAGUGGGCCAGGGAAAGACACUUCCAAAAGCUUUCUUACAUCCACGAAAGGCCCGGCCCAGAUUCAUUUUGAGCUGACGUAAUCACCUCCGGGCCAUAUUUCUUUUUUUAUUUUUAUUUUAUUUUUCCCCUUUCCACUAAAAUCCAAAUAUUUAAAACCGAACCGAUCCACAAACCUAAAGAUACCUGGUUCAGGGAUCGCACCACCUGACUCGAGCCGAAGCCACCGCCGACGAGAGUCCACUCCCAAAGCCUAGGCGAAGCCGACACGGCUCUCUCUCUCUCUCUCUCUCCCGAGGAUCCAGCGCCGCACAUCUCUAGAGCCGUAGCUCCGUAUCUGCUCGAACGCAAGAGCUCCGCCUUGAGAUCGCUCGAGUCCGCAUUCUCCCCUCCGCGCAAGAAAUUACUUUCCGCCAAAGAGCGCGGAGAGGCGCUGGUUAAGAAAACACAGUUGAAAGUGGUGGUGAACCGGAGACGACGAGUCGACUCGGCGGUUGAGGAUUUGGAAUAAGCAGUUAGGUUGAGUCACAGCCGGGUGGCGUAACUCGCAAUCACUGCCUGCCGUGCGAGAGUCAUGCUCUGUGCGUAUGAAUUUUGUGCACACGAGAAUGAAAACUAUUUUGUCGAAAAUAAACUUAUUCAACUUAUAAUCAUUUUAUAUAAAUAUUUU
This 4417-nucleotide long non-coding RNA is filed under the name Carica papaya (papaya). Its description in RNAcentral is "long non-coding RNA (CPAP_LNC008529)". Lineage: Eukaryota; Viridiplantae; Streptophyta; Magnoliopsida; Brassicales; Caricaceae. The record is from RNAcentral.